Molecule: ribosomal RNA, 468 nt
Filed under: uncultured bacterium
Lineage: Bacteria
Description: partial 16S ribosomal RNA
Rfam family: Bacterial small subunit ribosomal RNA
Source: RNAcentral
GACGAACGCUGGCGGCGUGCUUAACACAUGCGAGUCGAACGGAAAGGCCCUGCUUUUGUGGGGUGCUCGAGUGGCGAACGGGUGAGUAACACGUGAGUAACCUGCCCUUGACUUUGGGAUAACUUCAGGAAACUGGGGCUAAUACCGGAUAGGAGCUCCUGCUGCAUGGUGGGGGUUGGAAAGUUUCGGCGGUUGGGGAUGGACUCGCGGCUUAUCAGCUUGUUGGUGGGGUAGUGGCUUACCAAGGCUUUGACGGGUAGCCGGCCUGAGAGGGUGACCGGCCACAUUGGGACUGAGAUACGGCCCAGACUCCUACGGGAGGCAGCAGUGGGGAAUAUUGCACAAUGGGCGGAAGCCUGAUGCAGCGACGCCGCGUGGGGGAUGACGGCCUUCGGGUUGUAAACCCCUUUCGGCAGGGACGAAGCUUUUGUGACGGUACCUGCAUAAGAAGCACCGGCUAACUACGUG